CCUACGGGUGGCAGCAGUGAGGAAUAUUGGUCAAUGGGCGCGAGCCUGAACCAGCCAAGUCGCGUGAGGGAAGACGGUCCUAUGGAUUGUAAACCUCUUUUGUCGAGGAGCAAAAGACGCCACGCGUGGCGUUCCGAGAGUACCCGAAGAAAAAGCAUCGGCUAACUCCGUGCCAGCAGCCGCGGUAAUACGGAGGAUGCGAGCGUUAUCCGGAUUUAUUGGGUUUAAAGGGUGCGCAGGCGGAAGAUCAAGUCAGCGGUAAAAUUGAGAGGCUCAACCUCUUCGAGCCGUUGAAACUGGUGUUCUUGAGUGAGUGAGAAGUAUGCGGAAUGCGUGGUGUAGCGGUGAAAUGCAUAGAUAUCACGCAGAACUCCGAUUGCGAAGGCAGCAUACCGGCGCUCAACUGACGCGCAUGCACGAAAGUGUGGGUAUCGAACAGGAUUAGAUACCCUAGUAGUC
Molecule: ribosomal RNA, 459 nt
Filed under: uncultured bacterium
Lineage: Bacteria
Description: partial 16S ribosomal RNA
Rfam family: Bacterial small subunit ribosomal RNA
Source: RNAcentral